GACGAACGCUGGCGGCGUGCCUAAUACAUGCAAGUCGAGCGGCAGCAUAGGAGCUUGCUCCUGAUGGCGAGUGGCGAACGGGUGAGUAAUAUAUCGGAACGUGCCCUAGAGUGGGGGAUAACUAGUCGAAAGACUAGCUAAUACCGCAUACGAUCUACGGAUGAAAGUGGGGGAUCGCAAGACCUCAUGCUCCUGGAGCGGCCGAUAUCUGAUUAGCUAGUUGGUGGGGUAAAAGCUCACCAAGGCGACGAUCAGUAGCUGGUCUGAGAGGACGACCAGCCACACUGGGACUGAGACACGGCCCAGACUCCUACGGGAGGCAGCAGUGGGGAAUUUUGGACAAUGGGGGCAACCCUGAUCCAGCAAUGCCGCGUGAGUGAAGAAGGCCUUCGGGUUGUAAAGCUCUUUUGUCAGGGAAGAAACGGUUCUGGAUAAUACCUGGGACUAAUGACGGUACCUGAAGAAUAAGCACCGGCUAACUACGUGCCAGCCGCCGCCGUAA
RNAcentral lists this ribosomal RNA (502 nucleotides) under uncultured bacterium. RNAcentral describes it as "partial 16S ribosomal RNA". It matches the Rfam family "Bacterial small subunit ribosomal RNA", at positions 28 to 523 of the family's 1533-position model. The record is from RNAcentral.